This 384-nucleotide ribosomal RNA is filed under the name uncultured prokaryote. RNAcentral describes it as "bacterial SSU rRNA". It matches the Rfam family "Archaeal small subunit ribosomal RNA", at positions 341 to 725 of the family's 1478-position model. The record is from RNAcentral.
GCGAAAACUUUACAAUGCUGGCAACAGCGGUAAGGGAACCUCGAGUGCCAGGUUACAAAUCUGGCUGUCGAGAUGCCUAAAAAGCAUUUCAUAGCAAGGGCCGGGCAAGACCGGUGCCAGCCGCCGCGGUAACACCGGCGGCUCGAGUGGUAACCGUUAUUAUUGGGUCUAAAGGGUCUGUAGCCGGCCGGAUAAGUCUCUUGAGAAAUCUGGCAGCUUAACUGUCAGGCUUUCAGGAGAUACUGUCUGGCUCGAGGCCGGGAGAGGUGAGAGGUACUUCAGGGGUAGGGGGGAAACCUUGUAAGCCUUGAGGGACCACCAGUGGCGAAGGCGUCUCACCAGGACGGACCUGACGGCAAGGGAGGAAAGCUAGGGGCACGAACC